AAUAAACAAAAAACAUCGUUUAUUAAAUUGAUUGUUGCAUUACAAAGAACACUAUCCAAAUAUUACAAGAUGAGGAACUAUCUAGUAGCAGCAGCCCAAUUCUCGAUGUUGCAAUCAACAUCUCUGCCAUUCUAAAACAUAAUGUUUGAACCAUUGAUCUGGCAAAAAAAUCUAAAACAAAAUGUGGAACUAUCCAGUAGUAGUUUCAUUCUUGACCUUGCAAUAAGCAUCUGUGCCAGGCGUAUCCGUUUAUCUUGGCAAUCUACAACAACAAAGAAAUGAGAUAAGUAACAUAUAUUGCAUAAAAUCAAAUUACUAGCAUAGUAAAUUUGGAGGAGCAGCAUACAAAGGUGAAGCCAUGCAUACUUAAACCCUCUACCUCUAUUGAGCGGCACAUUCUAAACCAUCAUCAUUUUCCCACCUUGUAUAUUUAAUGAAUGGCGUAUCAAUGUGCAUCGUGUUAUUAUUGCAGAAACAAACGCUUACAUAAACAACAGAAGACAGCUUGAUCAUUAGACACGUUUAGCCUAUUAAAAUACAAAACUAUGUUGUUUGCUGAGUUGCAAACCAAAGAAACCAUUAACGAGAAAAUAUUUGGUAUUCAAAAUUCUAGGAAUUCGAGAUGCGGUGACAAUUAUCCAUUUUUAGAUGCAAUAUAAGCUCCGAAAAAUAAUAGAAAAGGAAGCAAGAUGUAUGUAUAAGUUGUACAUUUAGCAGUUGUAAUAUAAAGAUAUACGAAAAAUAAAUAGUAGGGUCAAAAUAUUUUGUAGACUGAAUGUGAAAUAUGUGUACACAUUAGGUUAGCUUGUCAGUAAAUAUCAUUAGUUUAUGUUGCUGUAGAGUAUCAUACACAAAACACAAAAAAAUAAGAAGGAAGGAUUUGAAAAGCUACAGCCAGAUAUAAGUACAUGUUCAUAGGAUAAAAAUCAUAGCAUCUUAUAAUUUUAUAAGAGUGCAGCUAGCCAUUGCCCUACGGUAAUCCCGGAAGUGUUCUCUUCUACAAAGAAGCCUGGAAAAAAGUAAUAGCUAUUAAUAAUCUGAUUUCUUUUGAGGCGAUGAAUAAUCAUUAAUGCAAUUUAUAGAGCUUACAAUUACGAAUUACCUCAUAAAGAAUCUAGCUUGGUACUAGUAGUAUUCUAGGUUCAGUGACAAUAAUAUAUUAAUAUAUAGACCUCGAACUCCGGAAUAAAUUAGUAUUUUCAACCUGCAUGUUCAGAAUAUGGAUGAUAACUUAGAAGACCACUAACCAGUAUUUCGAAUGUACGUGUAUACUAAAUUAAAAUAUGCUCUAGAAAAAUUGUCACAUCUAUAAGGUAAUACUCUUGGUGGAUCAGAGAAGUAAAUACAAAGUUUCGCAGUUACAAUCACGUAGUAGAUCGGCUGCCAGUCAUCAGAACAUCAUUACAUAUACAGAGGUGUCUAGCCUAAAUGGUUUCCUAAGUAUGGACUUUCCAAGUUAAUCUGGAAUACACUGAAUUUGACGUAGGUUCGUAUGACCAAUAGCUUUGACAAAAAAAAAUUCCCCAGGGGAGAUGGCUCAGUAUUUCAAGUUAACGAUUAUGGUUGUAAUUGGCAAGCUAUUUCUAGUAUAUUUCUAAAUGAGAUGGGUGAUGUAAGAAAGGAAACAUUCAGUUGGCUUGUCAUCUUGAUUCUCCUAGUACUUGUAUCGGUAUCUAAUAAUUGUUCCUCCUUGGUUAAACAACUAUAUUAGUACAAAACUAAUACCUGAACUACACCUAGUACUAUCCAUAUAAGUUCUAACUUCUGCAUCUUCAGUAGAGUGUUCGUAAUACGGCUAAGUUCGCUUAAGAAUAUACAUAAAUCAACCGAAAUAUAAGGAACACAAACCUGUGGCAAGAAUCAAACAUGGCGAGGAGCAGUGCCCCUUGGUUGUACCUAUAUCAGGUGGCUCGGUCGCGGAGCAUCCCGUGGUCGACGAGAAAUGACAACGCAGAGUACACAUUGUUUGACUCCAACGUUAUGCUGCUGCAGGAGUCACACUACCCCACGAAGAUGGGUGCCACUGUUUCCCCCGCCAUGAACCCCUCUAUAUGCUCCGGCAAGCUCUCCACCAUCCUGCACGCAGCACCACCCAAACUUACAAAGCAUGUGUGUUCCUUAAAUCUUAUACAUUCGUCGUUGUCCCCGGCCGUCUGCACGUACUCAUGGGCAGCACAAUCUGAGGAACUUACACAUAUGCCUCAUGGCCUAAGAAGAUCCUUGGAAACACAUGUGGGAUUAGAAAUAUUUCCUACGAAAUCGAAAGUAGUUAAGGAACCAAGUUCAUAGCAGGUUGUACAUGUUUGUACUUCUGAAUCCUUCAAUGUGUAUGUACGUUGCCGUGCCUGAAUAUGAUGUUGGUGUGGCCGGGGUAGGUGCGGUUGAUCUUCGUGUGGAUCUUGUAGGUCGUCCAUCGAGGAUCCACCAAUCCCGCCCCUGCACUGUUGACACAAGAUCGAGAUUCUAAUCCAGAGAGGGGCAACCAGAUGAUUGACGCCAAAUAGAUCAGAAAAGGGGCAGUCAAAGAAAAUAUAGAAGCACAGAUAUAGAGCUAGUGAAGAUUCAUAGGGGAAGGCGCCGCCACAACUUAUGGAUUGAGGGAUUGUUUUAGGGCUUCUCACGAUAGAUAAUUUGGGAAUAUUUUGUUACGGGUGGGAGAAUACGAGAGACAUCUAAGGAGGCUUUCUCUCAAGACGUGGGAGAGGUCAAAUAAAAAACGUGGGAAUGUGGGGAUGGGUGGGACCAUCUGCAACACAUCUUGUUUUUUGUUGCAAGCUAUUUGUU
This 2784-nucleotide long non-coding RNA is filed under the name Hordeum vulgare. Its description in RNAcentral is "long non-coding RNA (HVUL_LNC013340)". The record is from RNAcentral. Lineage: Eukaryota; Viridiplantae; Streptophyta; Magnoliopsida; Poales; Poaceae.